CUCCGUCAUCAUCUCUCUCCCGUGUGUGCCCCGCCAUCUCACCUGGCGGCAUUCUCCCCUUUUCCGAAAUACUGUGUGCGUGUGUACUUGGAGUUACCUCACCCGGAGCCAUGUCCCACCACAUGAAGAUUAAGGAUCUGCGCGAGAAGAGCAAGGAUGAUCUUCUCAAGACGCUGACGGAGUACAAGAAGGAGCUGUCGCAGCUGCGCGUGGUGCAGCAGACGGGCGGCGCCGAGACCCGCCUGGGCCGCAUCCGCCCGAUCCGCAAGAGCAUUGCUCGCAUUCUGACCGUGCUGAACCAGAACGAGCGCAGCAACCUGAAGAUGUUCUACGCGGACCGAAAGCUGCGCUGCAAGACGCCGAAGGUGCUGCGCGCGAAGCUGACGCACCGCCGCCGCCUAGCGCUGAAGGAGAACGAGAAGAACCGGAAGACGUCGCGCCAGAUGCGCCAGGCACACAAGUUCCCCAAGCGCGUGUACGCCGUCAAGAUCUAGGAUUACUGGGCCAAGUGAGAGAAGCCAUGGUUGCAGCGGAAAGAUGGAGAGCUCCCGCCUCUCCGCGACGGUGCUGAAGAACGCUGGCUUAUGAUGAGCAAAAAACGAUCAGCGCGGUGCACAGAAUGAAGUGCGGUAAAGAUGAAGAGACAACAGGAAGCCAUGGCCCUGGAGGUAAGGGGCAGGGAGUGGGUGGCGGCAGUUGGCUGAUGCUCAGACGCACAGAUGCCGCUGCCUCUGUCCAUCUCCUCUUUCUCCCCUCCGUGUGCACCUAUUCUCUUACCCGCCACUGCAAAGCAGGCGUGGUGACUUCCUCUCCGCCUCGGCAGAGUGCGGCCUGCACAUGGGGGUGUCUCUCACACACGCCCGGCCGCGCCAUCGCCCUCCUGCGGGCGUUCCUCUUUGCGGCUCGUCCACGGCGCCUUCGUUCCUUGGUUACAGCGCUUCCUUCGUUUUAUUUUUUUGUUUCGCUUCUCAUUUCUGCGUCGUGUCGACUCCACUACCAGACAUCCC
This 1007-nucleotide unclassified non-coding RNA is filed under the name Leishmania donovani. RNAcentral's name for it is "gene:LdHU3.26.3080(CDS-product:60S_ribosomal_prot ein_L35_putative)". Lineage: Eukaryota; Euglenozoa; Kinetoplastea; Trypanosomatida; Trypanosomatidae. The record is from RNAcentral.